RNAcentral lists this transfer RNA (71 nucleotides) under Bdellovibrio sp. RNAcentral describes it as "tRNA-Ala". It matches the Rfam family "tRNA". Rfam says of the family: Transfer RNA (tRNA) molecules are approximately 80 nucleotides in length. Their secondary structure includes four short double-helical elements and three loops (D, anti-codon, and T loops). The record is from RNAcentral. Lineage: Bacteria; Pseudomonadati; Bdellovibrionota; Bdellovibrionia; Bdellovibrionales; Pseudobdellovibrionaceae. RNAcentral also lists the same sequence under 1 other name.
GGGGCUAUGGUGAAAGGGUAUCAUGCAGCAAUCGCACUGCUGAGUUUCGAGUUCAAUUCUCGGUAGCUCCA